CCUACGGGAGGCAGCAGUGAGGAAUAUUGGUCAAUGGGCGUAAGCCUGAACCAGCCAAGUCGCGUGAGGGAUGAAGGUUCUAUGGAUCGUAAACCUCUUUUAUAAGGGAAUAAAGUGUGGGACGUGUCCUAUUUUGUAUGUACCUUAUGAAUAAGGAUCGGCUAAGUCCGUGCCAGCAGCCGCGGUAAUACGGAGGAUCCGAGCGUUAUCCGGAUUUAUUGGGUUUAAAGGGUGCGUAGGCGGCCUUUUAAGUCAGCGGUGAAAGUCUGUGGUGCAACCAUAGAAUUGCCGUUGAAACUGGGGGGCUUGAGUAUGUAUGAGGCGGGCGGAAUGCGUGGUGUAGCGGUGAAAUGCUUAGAUAUCACGCAGAACCCCGAUUGCGAAGGCAGCCUGCCAAGCCAUGACUGACGCUGAUGCACGAAAGCGUGGGGAUCAAACAGGAUUAGAUACCCCUGUAGUC
This 460-nucleotide ribosomal RNA is filed under the name uncultured bacterium. RNAcentral's name for it is "partial 16S ribosomal RNA". It matches the Rfam family "Bacterial small subunit ribosomal RNA", at positions 338 to 795 of the family's 1533-position model. The record is from RNAcentral.